This 1929-nucleotide long non-coding RNA is filed under the name Phasianus colchicus (ring-necked pheasant). Its description in RNAcentral is "lncRNA (ENSPCLG00000005672.1)". Lineage: Eukaryota; Metazoa; Chordata; Aves; Galliformes; Phasianidae. The record is from RNAcentral.
CAGCUAUCAGUGAUGACCCGCUUGCCUUUCAGCAGCAGCUGUAGUAAUUUGGGAUGUUUAUAAGGAGGAAGUAGUCGUCCUACUUCUCAACUACUAUGUGAGAAAAUAAUAGAGAUAAAUCUUCCUGUAAAUGCUCUGGUGGUGGAAGGAUGUGCAGGAGGUAGGGGAGGCUUUAACACUGCCUGAAGGGCUACUUGUCUGUGAGGAAGCCAGGGAAGCCACAAGUGCUUACACUUCUAUAAGUGAGGUAAUUAUGGGCAAGAACAUGAAGUCUAUGGUGGUGGUGAUCACCUGUUGACUCUGGACAAUGAGGAAUUCAGUUGUUUCCAUUACUGAUAAUCAGUACACUUUAGAGGCUCCAGAUGAAACAGCUGUCAUGCUGGGUGCUGUGUGCCCUUCCCAGGGAGGAACUGUCUCUUCCCCCAGAGAAAUUACCACCUAUGCAGACAAGCCAAGGCAAACAGAGGAAGCACCAUUAUUCUUAUUUUGGAAACUGAGGACUGAUGUUGAGGCUACAUGUGUAGCCAGGACAGCAUCAGCAGACUGCUCCAGCAAGCCAGUGCAGCAGUCCAGGGUGCAGCAUGAGAACUCAGACUGUAGCCCGGCGCAGCCCCAGGGGGCUACUGAGAUCUCCACAGCAAAAAUAGAUAAACGCUGUCCAAAUGUGUUUUGUUUUCAUUUGUUAUAUUCCCUGACCUAAGAAUGUAUAAUUACAGUCUUGCACAACCAGUACAUGACCGUGAACAAAUCCACAAGUUAGGAAGAAGUUUCUGUUUUGUGUGCCUAAACUGUAUAAACAUUGCAUAUAUGCAUUGUAUAUUGCAAGUGGGAAUAGAGGUAUCUGCAUACAAACGUGUAUCAGUGUUAUGAUUCCCUUUGUUGAUGAAGCACAAAUUUGGGCUCUGGGCCUGAUCACGACUCUUAGAUACUUUAGCUUUAGUUCACUGUAUUCCUGCAGCACCGGAUACUCUCCAAUGCGAGCAAUGUGAUACUAAACCUUUUUCAGAGGGCAAGAUCCAUGAAGAUUUGCUAUGCCCUUUCCUGACACUAGGAUCAACUCACGUAGCUGAAUCUGGCAUUCGUAUACAUUUCAAUGUCUCUAUGGGAACUGCAUGUGCUCUUUUUAUUUUAUGCUAAGAUUCCACUAAAUUGUUCUUUGGAUUUAUUUCAAAGAAAGAGAAGGGAGAAAAAGGCAGUAAAGAUUGCUCUUCUUAUGCUUUUAGUUGUUUUUUUAACUCAAUUAUAUUUUGACAAUUCUGUAUGAAACUUUGGAGUAUGUCUUUGUUUAAGCAGUAUACCUUCCAUAGGAAUAGUCAGUUAAAUGUAUAUGGCUAGUUUCAGGCAUAACAAGCUUUGACAAGGGCAUUUAGCGGUUGUAAUUCAAAUCUAAUUCAGAACAUCUUAGCACUGGACCUGUCAAGCACUUGAAAUGCACUGUAGCUGCAAAACGAAGGGAUAUGGUCCCAGUCGUGCUCUGUGUGGCAUCAAGCUGAUGUGUCAACAAGAGCAGUUACAAUUACAGGUUCUUUCAAGCAUACUAAACUAAUUUACAGCACUCUGAAAUUGUGGGAAAAGGCCUUGCUGGCAUGAAGGUACAUGGGACUUUCAUACUGCAAAGACAAGGCAGGUGACAAGAGGGUUUCAUUCAGGAGUUUCAAUAUUGCACAGUUUCAGUGCCACCUUUGGAGCGGGGGGAGGGAUUGUUAGAUUUGUAACUAGAUAUUUUGUGGAUAAUAAUAGAUUUGCCUUGCAGCCAUCAAAUACCCUUGUCAAAUCCCAUUAGAAUCACAUUGCACACUUGUUUGAAACCUCAAUCUAAAAUGUACCCAUUUGCUAAGUGAGGAUGAGGUCCUAAUUGCGCUGGCAGUGACUGGUCCUUUUUGUUUGCCUGUCUUGUUGGCAUAAUAAACAGCACUGAGCCUGGCUGCA